This is a non-coding RNA of Vicia faba (fava bean), 306 nucleotides long. NCBI's taxonomy places the organism in Eukaryota, Viridiplantae, Streptophyta, Magnoliopsida, Fabales, Fabaceae. The record is from the annotation of a GenBank genome assembly.
AUGACCCACGUGCCCAAAAUGGGGAUUCAGCUCUUUUUUUCGAGAUAUAUAUUCUGGAUUAACCCACCUUGGAAAUCACAGUACCUACCAAGAAGCCAAAAGAGCUUCAACCCUUCACGUUUCACACUUGGAGGAUUAUGUACAUUCGCGGUGUAUAUCCCGAAUUACCUACCAAGACUCCAAAAGAGCUUAAGUGCUUCAACCCUUCACGCCUUGCGCCUGAAAAACUAUGUACAUAAAUGUUUAGCCGGACAGGUACCUCCAAAAGAGUCUCGGACUUGUACCUCCAAAAAGUCUCAAGAAUGA